GAAAUGCGAUAAGUAGUGUGAAUUGCAGAAUUCAGUGAAUCAUCGAAUCUUUGAACGCACAUUGCGCCCCUUGGUAUUCCGGGGGGCAUGCCUGUUCGAGCGUCAUCUACACCCUCAAGCUCUGCUUGGUGUUGGGCGUCUGUCCCGCCUCGGCGCGCGGACUCGCCCCAAAUCCAUUGGCAGCGGUCCUUGCCUCCUCUCGCGCAGCACAUUGCGCUUCUCGAGGGGCUCCGGCCCGCGUCCAACAAGAAAACAUUACCGUCUUUGACCUCGGAUCAGGUAGGGAUACCUGCUGAACUUAAGC
RNAcentral lists this unclassified non-coding RNA (304 nucleotides) under plant metagenome. Its description in RNAcentral is "partial contains 5.8S ribosomal RNA, internal transcribed spacer 2, and large subunit ribosomal RNA". The stretch from base 1 to 105 matches the Rfam family "5.8S ribosomal RNA", at positions 50 to 154 of the family's 154-position model. The record is from RNAcentral.